Molecule: unclassified non-coding RNA, 454 nt
Filed under: Zea mays
Lineage: Eukaryota; Viridiplantae; Streptophyta; Magnoliopsida; Poales; Poaceae
Description: misc RNA Zm00001eb181700
Source: RNAcentral
GUGGUGACUCCUCGAGGUCACGGUCGACUAGGGGUUCAGGUGGUGGGGAUACCUCCUCUAUGUUGUUCCAGGGCUCUACAGCGUCAAGGCAGUGGCUAGAGCAGCUCCUUGGUUGCAUGGAGGAGCAGGGGCGCGAAGUGGCAAGCCAUAGUGCACCUGGGCAAGAGCGCGAGGUGGCAGGCCAUAGUGCACCUGGGCAAGAGCGCGAGGUGGCAUGCCACAAUGCACUUGAGCCGGAGCGUGAGGCGAUAGGCUCAAGUGGACCUAUGCUAGAGCAGGACCACAAUGCAUUUGAGCAAGCGAGCGAGGCGGCAGACCACAAUGCACCUAGUCAGGAGGACGAGCUGGCACGCCAAGGUUCACCAAUGCGUGAUGAUGAUGACUAUGGGGAGGACUACGAUGGAGAGGCCGAUGGAGAGGCCGAUGACGAGGUUGUUACAACGACACAGGCAAC